RNAcentral lists this ribosomal RNA (464 nucleotides) under Vreelandella stevensii. RNAcentral describes it as "partial 16S ribosomal RNA". It matches the Rfam family "Bacterial small subunit ribosomal RNA", at positions 339 to 795 of the family's 1533-position model. The record is from RNAcentral. Lineage: Bacteria; Pseudomonadati; Pseudomonadota; Gammaproteobacteria; Oceanospirillales; Halomonadaceae.
CUACGGGUAUCUGCAGUGGGGAAUAUUGGACAAUGGGCGAAAGCCUGAUCCAGCCAUGCCGCGUGUGUGAAGAAGGCCUUCGGGUUGUAAAGCACUUUCAGUGGGGAAGAAAGCCUUGGGGCUAAUACCCUCGAGGAAGGACAUCACCCACAGAAGAAGCACCGGCUAACUCCGUGCCAGCAGCCGCGGUAAUACGGAGGGUGCGAGCGUUAAUCGGAAUUACUGGGCGUAAAGCGCGCGUAGGCGGUCUGAUAAGCCGGUUGUGAAAGCCCCGGGCUCAACCUGGGAACGGCAUCCGGAACUGUCAGGCUAGAGUGCAGGAGAGGAAGGUAGAAUUCCCGGUGUAGCGGUGAAAUGCGUAGAGAUCGGGAGGAAUACCAGUGGCGAAGGCGGCCUUCUGGACUGACACUGACGCUGAGGUGCGAAAGCGUGGGUAGCAAACAGGAUUAGAUACCCUGGUAGUC